Molecule: ribosomal RNA, 492 nt
Filed under: uncultured bacterium
Lineage: Bacteria
Description: partial 16S ribosomal RNA
Rfam family: Bacterial small subunit ribosomal RNA
Source: RNAcentral
AGUGAACGCUGGCGGUAGGCCUAACACAUGCAAGUCGAACGGCAGCACAGUAAGAGCUUGCUCUUACGGGUGGCGAGUGGUGGACGGGUGAGGAAUACAUCGGAAUCUACUUUUUCGUGGGGGAUAACGUAGGGAAACUUACGCCAAUACCGCAUACGACCUACGGGUGAAAGCAGGGGAUCUUCGGACCUUGCGCGAUUGUAUGAGCCGAUGUCGGAUUAGCUAGUUGGCGGGGUAAAGGCCCACCAAGGCGACGAUCCGUAGCUGGUCUGAGAGGAUGAUCAGCCACACUGGAACUGAGACACGGUCCAGACUCCUACGGGAGGCAGCAGUGGGGAAUAUUGGACAAUGGGCGCAAGCCUGAUCCAGCCAUACCGCGUGGGUGAAGAAGGCCUUCGGGUUGUAAAGCCCUUUUGUUGGGAAGGAAAAGCAGCAGGUUAAUACCCCGCUGUUCUGACGGUACCCAAAGAAUAAGCACCGGCUAACUUCGUG